CAAGAAAUAGUUUAUUAAAAUAUUAAUUUUGGAGAUUAAAGUUAGAGAAGUUUCUUUUUUCUUGA
This 65-nucleotide transfer RNA is filed under the name Annamanum lunulatum. RNAcentral's name for it is "tRNA-Pro". The record is from RNAcentral. Lineage: Eukaryota; Metazoa; Arthropoda; Insecta; Coleoptera; Cerambycidae.